GCAGUGCUAGUGCUACACAUGCAGUCGAACGAUGGAUACCCGCGUUAUACGGGCGGGGAUUAGUGGCGAACGGGUGAGUAACACGUGGGCAAUCUGCCCUGCACUCUGGGACAAGCCCUGGAAACGGGGUCUAAUACCGGAUAUGACUGUCCGCCGCAUGGUGGAUGGUGUAAAGCUCCGGCGGUGCAGGAUGAGCCCGCGGCCUAUCAGCUUGUUGGUGAGGUAGUGGCUCACCAAGGCGACGACGGGUAGCCGGCCUGAGAGGGCGACCGGCCACACUGGGACUGAGACACGGCCCAGACUCCUACGGGAGGCAGCAGUGGGGAAUAUUGCACAAUGGGCGAAAGCCUGAUGCAGCGACGCCGCGUGAGGGAUGACGGCCUUCGGGUUGUAAACCUCUUUCAGCAGGGAAGAAGCGAGAGUGACGGUACCUGCAGAAGAAGCGCCGGCUAACUACGUGCCAGCAGCCGCGGUAAUACGUAGGGCGCAAGCGUUGUCCGGAAUUAUUGGGCGUAAAGAGCUCGUAGGCGGCUUGUCACGUCGGUUGUGAAAGCCCGGGGCUUAACCCCGGGUCUGCAGUCUAUACGGACAUGCUACAGUUCCGGUAGGGGCACAUCCGGAAUUGCCUGGUGUAACGGGUGAAAUGGCGCAAAUAUCCAGGAGGGAAAAUCUGGGUGGCCGAAGGGCGGGAUCCCCUGGGUUCCGAAU
RNAcentral lists this ribosomal RNA (708 nucleotides) under Streptomyces sp. RNAcentral describes it as "bacterial SSU rRNA". It matches the Rfam family "Bacterial small subunit ribosomal RNA", at positions 39 to 744 of the family's 1533-position model. Lineage: Bacteria; Bacillati; Actinomycetota; Actinomycetes; Kitasatosporales; Streptomycetaceae. The record is from RNAcentral.